UUUUCUGAUGAUCUCAAUGUAUUCGCUGUGUUCUUACUGAAUUUCCAUGUCGAAUAUACAUCACCUUGGAGAACUGACAU
RNAcentral lists this small nucleolar RNA (80 nucleotides) under Exophiala dermatitidis NIH/UT8656. RNAcentral describes it as "A. fumigatus snoRNA Afu_294". It matches the Rfam family "A. fumigatus snoRNA Afu_294". The record is from Rfam by way of RNAcentral. Lineage: Eukaryota; Fungi; Ascomycota; Eurotiomycetes; Chaetothyriales; Herpotrichiellaceae.